This 438-nucleotide ribosomal RNA is filed under the name uncultured bacterium. RNAcentral describes it as "partial 16S ribosomal RNA". It matches the Rfam family "Bacterial small subunit ribosomal RNA", at positions 339 to 795 of the family's 1533-position model. The record is from RNAcentral.
CUACGGGCGGCUGCAGUGGGGAAUCUUAGACAAUGGGGGCAACCCUGAUCUAGCCAUGCCGCGUGAGUGAUGAAGGCCUAGGGUUGUAAAGCUCUUUCAGUCGUGAAGAUAAUGACGGUAGCGACAGAAGAAGCCCCGGCUAACUCCGUGCCAGCAGCCGCGGUAAUACGGAGGGGGCUAGCGUUGUUCGGAAUUACUGGGCGUAAAGCGCGCGUAGGCGGACUGGAAAGUCAGAGGUGAAAUCCCAGGGCUCAACCUUGGAACUGCCUUUGAAACUAUCAGUCUGGAGUUCGAGAGAGGUGAGUGGAAUUCCGAGUGUAGAGGUGAAAUUCGUAGAUAUUCGGAGGAACACCAGUGGCGAAGGCGGCUCACUGGCUCGAUACUGACGCUGAGGUGCGAAAGCGUGGGGAGCAAACAGGAUUAGAUACCCUAGUAGUC